This 254-nucleotide ribosomal RNA is filed under the name uncultured bacterium. RNAcentral's name for it is "partial 16S ribosomal RNA". It matches the Rfam family "Bacterial small subunit ribosomal RNA", at positions 524 to 776 of the family's 1533-position model. The record is from RNAcentral.
UACGUAGGGGGCAAGCGUUAUCCGGAAUUAUUGGGCGUAAAGAGCUCGUAGGCGGUUUGUCGCGUCUGCUGUGAAAACUGGGGGCUCAACCCCCAGCCUGCAGUGGGUACGGGCAGACUAGAGUGCGGUAGGGGAGAUUGGAAUUCCUGGUGUAGCGGUGGAAUGCGCAGAUAUCAGGAGGAACACCGAGUGGCGAAGGCAGAUCUCUGGGCCGUAACUGACGCUGAGGAGCGAAAGCGUGGGGAGCGAACAGG